RNAcentral lists this ribosomal RNA (442 nucleotides) under uncultured Afifella sp. RNAcentral's name for it is "bacterial SSU rRNA". It matches the Rfam family "Bacterial small subunit ribosomal RNA", at positions 335 to 796 of the family's 1533-position model. Lineage: Bacteria; Pseudomonadati; Pseudomonadota; Alphaproteobacteria; Hyphomicrobiales; Afifellaceae. The record is from RNAcentral.
GUCCUACGGGCGGCUGCAGUGGGGAAUAUUGGACAAUGGGCGCAAGCCUGAUCCAGCCAUGCCGCGUGAGUGAAGAAGGCCUUAGGGUUGUAAAGCUCUUUCAGCGGGGACGAUAAUGACGGUACCCGCAGAAGAAGCCCCGGCUAACUUCGUGCCAGCAGCCGCGGUAAUACGAAGGGGCUAGCGUUGUUCGGAAUUACUGGGCGUAAAGCGCGCGUAGGCGGGUCGUUAAGUCAGGGGUGAAAUGCCGAGGCUCAACCUCGGAACUGCCUUUGAUACUGGCGACCUGGAGUUCGGGAGAGGUGAGUGGAAUUCCGAGUGUAGAGGUGAAAUUCGUAGAUAUUCGGAGGAACACCAGAAGCGAAGGCGGCUCACUGGCCCGAGACUGACGCUGAGGCGCGAAAGCGUGGGGAGCAAACAGGAUUAGAUACCCCAGUAGUCU